CAUUUAUUAGGCUAUUUAAAAUAUCACAAAUCCAUAGAAAGAUUUCGUAUAAUGAGUAUGAAUACAAAAAUGGCCAUAAAACAUAAGACAAAGGCAUUGCAUGAUAACAAUAAAUGCAGUCUGGAAUUUUGUGUUUUUAAGGCGAAAGUGAGAGAAUUCAGAGUUAUUUUGUAUAUAUGGGGUAAUGAAUGAACAUACACUGAUCAGCCACCACAUUUAAAAAAAAAAACAUAAUAUUUUGUAGGUCCCCUUUGUGCUCCCAAAAAAGCUCUAAUGUGUCGAGGCAUGGACUUCACAAGACCUCUGAACGUGUUUGUGGUAUCUGGCACCAACACAUUAGCAGCAGAUCCUUUAAUUCCUGCAAGGUGGGGCCUCCAGUUGUCUAGCCAUCACUAUUUGGUUCUUGUCAGAGUCAUUCAGGUCUUUUCGCUUGCGCAUUUCUCCUGCUUCCAACACAUGAAAUUUAAGAACUGAUUGUUAAUUUGCUGCGUAAUAUAUCCCACCCCUUAACAGGUUGACAUUGUAACAAUAUAAUCAAUGUUAUUAACUUCAACUGUCAGUGGUUUUAAUGUAGUAGCUGAUCAGUGUACAUGGAUAUGGAUAUUAUUAUUAUAUAUUAUAACAAGAACGUAUAUCAGCGCUUUACAAAGUUACGAAAGUGGGAAAUUUAACAAUAAAUAAGAAUUACGAAAUGAUACAGGAACAAUAAAUAGAUGAGGACCCUGCUCAUACAAGCUUACAAUCUAACUAGAGAAUGUGUACAUAUAUAUGGUUAUAAAUGAAUCACAUUUACAUACUCCUGAGUCUGCUGACCAUCAAAAUACUCCAGGAGGUUAACCUGAUUAAAACCAAUUAACAUGCUACUAUCGUACUCAUAAAUGGACUAGAGGUGUGACUCUCUGUAAGGAACUAGUACAGAUUUAGGGUGUAAUGCUCUCGGAGAUUAAUAAAGGAGGUUUGAUACUAUCACUUUAAGAAAAUAGAAUUUAUUUAAAUAAAGUAAUUUCACUUUGGCAGCCUUCUGCAGCAAUAAAGUUGUAAAAUAAUAAUGCAUGAAGCAUUUAAAUAGCAUGAAACUUACAUAAAUGAGGAAAAGCUUACUUGGCAAUAUAGUCCAUAGGCUUCCAAAUAAGGCAAUGAUAGAGCAGGUCAUUUCUGUAGCAUAGAAGGUGAAUGAUCCUUUUAGAAGUGACAAAUAAAUAGAACCAGAUUCAGUAUAAAAGGAGCACAAUAAUUUUCAAAUGAAUAGAACGUGAUUCUGUAACAAGUGUUAUUUCCUUUUGACAUCGGUAAUAACGGAAUUACAUAACUGUCACUUGGCAAAUGAAAGUUCUUAAUAAGGAACAAAUGGAAUCCCGGAGAACAAACUUUAUAUUUCCUUUCCUUCAGAAAUAACAUUUAGGGAAGAACCGAUUAGUAAUCCCAGUAACUGGAGAUUCUGGGAGGUCUGAGAGGUCCAGGAGGUCGGCAAGCACUGGCUCUCAACAGACCUGGCUCCUUGGUCAGAGCUAUGUUUAAACGGAGUGCCCUUUGGAGUUUUGGAGAGGUUUGAAAUCUGAGAGGUUUGCAGACACCCUCAUAAUAGAGAUUUUCAUUUUCUAUACCAUUAUUCAUUAUAAUCCACCAUUAUCUACAUGGUCUGGAUUACUGGGAGUACUUUAGCUGAUUCCCUAUGAAGAAAAAAAUAUAUAUCUUUCCUGCAGACACCCUCAUUAUAGAGAUUUAAAUUUUCUAUACCAUUUCCACAUACCAAAAUCCACUAUUUUCCACAUGGUAAGCUGCAUAAGAACUCCAUAUGAACUGCUGAUAUAUAUGAUGAAUACCUGGAUGACUGGGAGCAUUGGGAGUACUAAAGAUGAUUCCCUAUGAAAAAAAUAAUAAUAAUUUUAAGCUCCUUUUUUUUUUUUAGAUUAUACAUAAUCAGUGAACAUGAUAAAGUGUCAUCAAGAAGCUUUACCUUUUCAUUUUUUUGAUUAAGUUUCUGAAGUGGGUGAUUAAGUUAUUUUCAAAAUUGCCAAAAUUACUGGGAGUUUCUCUACAUGCAAAUAAAAGGUUAAUAGAAACCUGUGAAUGAAGAAUGAGAAUCUUUACAAAAGAAAAGGAAACAAAAUAUACAAACAAACAACUUGUUCCUGGUUUGUUUCCUUUUUUUUCUGUGUGUGCAGAGGUCUACUUUUUGUUUUACCGCCUAAAAAAGAAAUGGCGCCUAAAACUGAUAAGAUGGAGAAGACAAAAAAACAGGAUAGAGCUGAUAAACCGAAGGCUCAACCUAUUAGUUUGUUCUCUUCUCCCAAAUCACAAGUAAGUACUCUGUGCUUUUCUCCUGGACCAUCGUUAGCUCAUACCUUAGAUUGAAGUGUCUUAGAUUCUUCAAAUGCAAUAACAUAUCAAUUUAAAUCAGGCAUUAGAUAAUCUAUACAGUAGAAUUAAAAUAGAUCUGGGAAAAAAUCAAGCAGAAAUGAAGGAGGAAAUCUCCCAGAUUCGAUCAAUAAUACUUCAUGAAAUUACGCAACUAAUGCAAAUAAAUACAGAUUUACAACUUCAGAAUGAUUAUCUAAAACAAAAUAUUGCUAUACUUCAAAUGAAAGUUACAGAUAUUGAGGAUAGGUCAAGAAGACAAAAUCUCAAAAUUAGAGAUAUCUCAGAAACAACUGAAAAUUUGGAUACAUAUGUGAUGGAUUUUCUAAAGAUUUAUUUUGACCGAAAAUUACUGGGAUCAUAUCCAAAUGAAAGAAUACAUGUUACCAAGACCACAAAAUAUGCCCCAGUUAUCAAGAGAUGUCAUAGUUCGGUUUAACAAUGCAAGAAUUAAAGAUCUGUUUACAGCGUGCAGGAAAGGGGAAGGAAAGAGGAAAACUAAGAAAUUUAUUUCCCCACCUAUCUUUCCCAGAGGUUGAUCUAAUAUUAAAAAACGUCUCUUACUUAAGACACAAAUUUAGGGCCCUAUAGAGAUGCUUGUUUACAAUGGAGUUUGGAAUCUUUGUAGUAUGACAAAUUUAGGCAGUUAGCUCGAUGUUAAAAUUUAGGCAGUUAGCUUCCUUCAGAGGUUAAGGAAGUUUUUAGUGUUUUUGCCAAUGAUAUACGGCAGGUUGCUUCCACACUGUCAUUCUCUGAAGUUCUGCCUGUGCAUAACACGCAGAACGACAGGCGGAUGCGUAUUAGGGACUUUAAUUUGUGGCUUGGUGAAUGGUGUCGGGAGCAAGGAUUUGGCUUUAUUUCUCAUGGUAGCUCUGUUUGGAAUGGAAAUAACCUGUACAAAAAAGAUGGUUUGCAUCUUUCUCAAAAGGGAACAAAUGUUCUCAGUAAGCAGUUCAGAGGUUUUGCUAGGAUGUAUUUAAACUAGGGGGGGGGGGGAAAGGGUGAUAAAACAUCAAUCCAAUUGUCCCCCAAAACAAGGACAGAAGGUGCCUGUAGCAAGUGUGUUAAAAAAUGAUAAGCUUAGAGUCAUGUUUACAAAUGCUCGCAGUUUAGGGAAUAAGAUCCAUGAACUUGUGGCAAUAAUGGCAACUGAUAGUGUAGAUUUAGUCGCUAUUACUGAGACAUGGUACAAUGAGAAAAAUGACUGGGACAUAGCAAUACCAGGGUACUCUUUAUAUAGAAAAGAUAGGGAAGGCAAGAAAGGGGGAGGGGUAGCCCUGUAUGUAAAGGAUAGCAUAAAAUCUAGCCUAAUAAACGUUAGUGAGGCGAACAUAGAGUCCGUUUAGGUUACGUUAGAAUUUGGUAAUCACACAGUAACUUGUGUAGGUGUGAUUUAUAAGCCCCCAGGACAAAUUGAAGAGUUAGAUAAUCUACUCGUUGAGGAAAUAGCUAAAAUGACAAUGAAGGGGGAAGUUAUCAUCAUGGGUGACUUUAAUCUUCCUGAUGUGAAUUGGAAAACAAAAAUAGCUACUUCUGCCAGGAGCACACAUAUUCUAAACUCCCUACUGGGAUUGUCUCUAAAACAAGUUGUCGAGGAGCCAACUCGUAAAGAGGCCAUACUAGAUUUAGUGUUAACAAAUGGAGAUUUGGUAUCAGAUAUUACUGUAGGUGAAAGUUUUGGAUCCAGUGAUCAUCAGUUAGUGUGGUUUAAUAUAAGAACAGUGACUGAGUCACACCACACAAAAACAAAAGUCUUAGACUUUAGAAAAACAGACUUUUCUAAAAUUAGAAUAUGUGUAGAGGAGUCAUUAUCAGAC
This is a non-coding RNA of Pelobates cultripes (western spadefoot toad), 4175 nucleotides long. Lineage: Eukaryota; Metazoa; Chordata; Amphibia; Anura; Pelobatidae. The record is from the annotation of a GenBank genome assembly.